RNAcentral lists this small RNA (75 nucleotides) under Sinorhizobium meliloti 2011. RNAcentral describes it as "putative ncRNA". Lineage: Bacteria; Pseudomonadati; Pseudomonadota; Alphaproteobacteria; Hyphomicrobiales; Rhizobiaceae. The record is from RNAcentral.
ACGCCUUGAGAGGCCCAAUCGGGAGCACUGUCCCCGCUGAUGUAGACGACCGGCAUCUCAGGGUCGAUCUCCCUU